Molecule: small RNA, 97 nt
Filed under: Xanthomonas axonopodis
Lineage: Bacteria; Pseudomonadati; Pseudomonadota; Gammaproteobacteria; Lysobacterales; Lysobacteraceae
Also listed under: 9 other names
Description: sX9 sRNA
Rfam family: Xanthomonas sRNA sX9
Source: RNAcentral
AUGCAGUACGUCUGCACUCCGGUUUUUGUGCGCCAUCCACGCUCGCCUGGCGGCUGCUCGCGGCUGUCGGUCAAACGCGCUAGCCGCGUUGCCGGCC